Molecule: ribosomal RNA, 2942 nt
Filed under: Pectobacterium brasiliense
Lineage: Bacteria; Pseudomonadati; Pseudomonadota; Gammaproteobacteria; Enterobacterales; Pectobacteriaceae
Description: 23S ribosomal RNA
Rfam family: Bacterial large subunit ribosomal RNA
Source: RNAcentral
GGGUUGUGAGGUUAAGCGACUAAGCGUACACGGUGGAUGCCUAGGCAGUCAGAGGCGAUGAAGGGCGUGCUAAUCUGCGAUAAGCGUCGGUAAGCUGAUAUGAAGCGUUAUACCCGACGAUACCCGAAUGGGGAAACCCAGUGUGUUUCGACACACUAUCAUGACAUGAAUACAUAGUGUCAUGAGGCGAACCGGGGGAACUGAAACAUCUCAGUACCCCGAGGAAAAGAAAUCAACCGAGAUUCCCCCAGUAGCGGCGAGCGAACGGGGAGGAGCCCAGAACCUGAAUCAGUUUGUGUGUUAGUGGAAGCGUCUGGAAAGUCGCACAGUAAAGGGUGAUAGUCCCGUACACAAAAAUGCACAAGCUGUGAGUUCGAUGAGUAGGGCGGGACACGUGACAUCCUGUCUGAAUAUGGGGGGACCAUCCUCCAAGGCUAAAUACUCCUGACUGACCGAUAGUGAACCAGUACCGUGAGGGAAAGGCGAAAAGAACCCCGGCGAGGGGAGUGAAAUAGAACCUGAAACCGUGUACGUACAAGCAGUGGGAGCCUACUUGUUAGGUGACUGCGUACCUUUUGUAUAAUGGGUCAGCGACUUAUAUUCUGUAGCAAGGUUAACCGUAUAGGGGAGCCGCAGGGAAACCGAGUCUUAACUGGGCGUUAAGUUGCAGGGUAUAGACCCGAAACCCGGUGAUCUAGCCAUGGGCAGGUUGAAGGUUGGGUAACACUAACUGGAGGACCGAACCGACUAAUGUUGAAAAAAUUAGCGGAUGACUUGUGGCUGGGGGGUGAAAGGCCAAUCAAACCGGGAGAUAGCUGGUUCUCCCCGAAAGCUAUUUAGGUAGCGCCUCGUGAACUCAUCUUCGGGGGGUAGAGCACUGUUUCGGCUAGGGGGGUCAUCCCGACUUACCAACCCGAUGCAAACUACGAAUACCGAAGAAUGUUAUCACGGGAGACACACGGCGGGUGCUAACGUUCGUCGUGAAGAGGGAAACAACCCAGACCGCCAGCUAAGGUCCCAAAGUCAUGGUUAAGUGGGAAACGAUGUGGGAAGGCACAGACAGCCAGGAUGUUGGCUUAGAAGCAGCCAUCAUUUAAAGAAAGCGUAAUAGCUCACUGGUCGAGUCGGCCUGCGCGGAAGAUGUAACGGGGGCUAAACCAUGCACCGAAGCUGCGGCAGCGACACUUAGGUGUUGUUGGGUAGGGGAGCGUUCUGUAAGCCUGCGAAGGUGGCCUGUGAGGGCUGCUGGAGGUAUCAGAAGUGCGAAUGCUGACAUAAGUAACGAUAAUGCGGGUGAAAAACCCGCACGCCGGAAGACCAAGGGUUCCUGUCCAACGUUAAUCGGGGCAGGGGUGAGUCGACCCCUAAGGCGAGGCUGAAAAGCGUAGUCGAUGGGAAACAGGUUAAUAUUCCUGUACUCGGUGUUACUGCGAAGGGGGGACGGAGAAAGCUAGGUUAUCCGGGCGACGGUUGUCCCGGUUUAAGCGUGAAGGUGGAUGACUUUGGUAAAUCCGGGUCAUCGUUAACACUGAGGCGUGAUGACGAGUCACUACGGUGAUGAAGUAACCGAUGCUACGCUUCCAGGAAAAGCCUCUAAGCUCCAGGUAACAUCAAAUCGUACCCCCAAACCGACACAGGUGGUCAGGUAGAGAAUACUCAGGCGCUUGAGAGAACUCGGGUGAAGGAACUAGGCAAAAAUGGUGCCGUAACUUCGGGAGAAGGCACGCUGAUGGUAAGUGAAGUGACUUGCUCAUGGAGCUGAAAUCAGUCGAAGAUACCAGCUGGCUGCAACUGUUUAAUAAAAACACAGCACUGUGCAAACACGAAAGUGGACGUAUACGGUGUGACGCCUGCCCGGUGCCGGAAGGUUAAUUGAUGGGGUCAGCCGCAAGGCGAAGCUCUUGAUCGAAGCCCCGGUAAACGGCGGCCGUAACUAUAACGGUCCUAAGGUAGCGAAAUUCCUUGUCGGGUAAGUUCCGACCUGCACGAAUGGCGUAAUGAUGGCCAGGCUGUCUCCACCCGAGACUCAGUGAAAUUGAACUCGCUGUGAAGAUGCAGUGUACCCGCGGCAAGACGGAAAGACCCCGUGAACCUUUACUAUAGCUUGACACUGAACCUUGAGCCUUGAUGUGUAGGAUAGGUGGGAGGCUUUGAAGUGUGGACGCCAGUCUGCAUGGAGCCAACCUUGAAAUACCACCCUUUAAUGUUUGAUGUUCUAACGUGGACCCGUGAUCCGGGUUGCGGACAGUGUCUGGUGGGUAGUUUGACUGGGGCGGUCUCCUCCCAAAGCGUAACGGAGGAGCACGAAGGUUAGCUAAUCCUGGUCGGACAUCAGGAGGUUAGUGCAAAGGCAUAAGCUAGCUUGACUGCGAGAGUGACAGCUCGAGCAGGUGCGAAAGCAGGUCUUAGUGAUCCGGUGGUUCUGAAUGGAAGGGCCAUCGCUCAACGGAUAAAAGGUACUCCGGGGAUAACAGGCUGAUACCGCCCAAGAGUUCAUAUCGACGGCGGUGUUUGGCACCUCGAUGUCGGCUCAUCACAUCCUGGGGCUGAAGUAGGUCCCAAGGGUAUGGCUGUUCGCCAUUUAAAGUGGUACGCGAGCUGGGUUUAGAACGUCGUGAGACAGUUCGGUCCCUAUCUGCCGUGGGCGUUGGAAGAUUGAGAGGGGUUGCUCCUAGUACGAGAGGACCGGAGUGAACGCACCACUGGUGUACGGGUUGUGAUGCCAAUUGCAUUGCCCGGUAGCUAAGUGCGGAAGAGAUAACCGCUGAAAGCAUCUAAGCGGGAAACUUGCCUCGAGAUGAGUCUUCCCUGGGCACCAGAUGCCCCUGAAGGGCCGUUGAAGACGACGACGUAGAUAGGCUGGGUGUGUAAGCGUAGCGAUACGUUGAGCUAACCAGUACUAAUGACCCGAGAGGCUUAACCUUACAACACCGAAGGUGUUU